Molecule: ribosomal RNA, 253 nt
Filed under: uncultured bacterium
Lineage: Bacteria
Description: partial 16S ribosomal RNA
Rfam family: Bacterial small subunit ribosomal RNA
Source: RNAcentral
UACGUAGGGGGCAAGCGUUGUCCGGAUUUACUGGGCGUAAAGCGCACGUAGGCGGAUUGUUAAGUCAGGGGUGAAAUCCUGGAGCUCAACUCCAGAACUGCCUUUGAUACUGGCGAUCUCGAGUCCGGGAGAGGUGAGUGGAACUGCGAGUGUAGAGGUGAAAUUCGUAGAUAUUCGCAAGAACACCAGUGGCGAAGGCGGCUCACUGGCCCGGUACUGACGCUGAGGUGCGAAAGCGUGGGGAGCAAACAGG